GACAGGGGUGCCAAGCGUUAGGCGGAAUCACUGGGCUUAAAGCGUGUGUAGGCGGACUUGUAAGUGUCUUGUGAAAUCCCACGGCUUAACCGUGGAAUGGCUGGACAUACUGCAAGUCUUGAGCCGCUUAGGGGUCGGUGGAACAAAUGGUGGAGCGGUGAAAUGCGUAGAUAUCAUUUGGAACGCCAAUGGUGAAAACAGCCGACUGGGAGCGCGCUGACGCUGAGACACGAAAGCCAGGGGAGCGAACGGG
Molecule: ribosomal RNA, 253 nt
Filed under: uncultured bacterium
Lineage: Bacteria
Description: partial 16S ribosomal RNA
Rfam family: Bacterial small subunit ribosomal RNA
Source: RNAcentral